GAUGAACGCUAGCGAUAGGCCUAACACAUGCAAGUCGAGGGGCAUCACAUGAAGUAGCAAUACGGAUGGUGGCGACCGGCGCACGGGUGAGUAACACGUAUGCAACCUGCCUUCAACAAGGGGAUAACCCGUUGAAAGACGGACUAAUACCCUAUAACACAGGGGUCCCGCAUGGGGAUAUUUGUUAAAGGACAACCGGUUGAAGAUGGGCAUGCGUUCCAUUAGCUAGUUGGCGGGGUAACGGCCCACCAAGGCAACGAUGGAUAGGGGAACUGAGAGGUUUAUCCCCCACACUGGUACUGAGACACGGACCAGACUCCUACGGGAGGCAGCAGUGAGGAAUAUUGGUCAAUGGACGCAAGUCUGAACCAGCCACGUCGCGUGAAGGAAGACGGCCCUACGGGUUGUAAACUUCUUUUAACGGGAAUAAAGUGCCCCACGCGUGGGGUUUUGCAUGUACCGUAUGAAUAAGGAUCGGCUAACUCCGUGCCAGCAGCCGCGGUAA
Molecule: ribosomal RNA, 505 nt
Filed under: uncultured bacterium
Lineage: Bacteria
Description: bacterial SSU rRNA
Rfam family: Bacterial small subunit ribosomal RNA
Source: RNAcentral